AUACGGAGGGUGCAAGCGUUAAUCGGAUUUAUUGGGCGUAAAGGGGGCGCAGGCGGGAAGAUAAGUCAGAUGUGAAAGCCCAGGGCUCAACCUUGGAACAGCAUUUGAAACUAUUUUUCUUGAGGAUAGGCGGAGAAAACGGAAUUCCACAAGUAGCGGUGAAAUGCGUAGAUAUGUGGAAGAACACCCGUGGCGAAAGCGGUUUUCUAGCUUAUACCUGACGCUGAGGCCCGAAAGCUGGGGGAGC
Molecule: ribosomal RNA, 247 nt
Filed under: uncultured bacterium
Lineage: Bacteria
Description: partial 16S ribosomal RNA
Rfam family: Bacterial small subunit ribosomal RNA
Source: RNAcentral